GCAGGCGCGGUCCCCACAAGCAACGCGUUUGUAGGCGGUUAGGUGCGCACGCUCUGUCCCGGCGUGACCUUCCGACCCUGCUGUCCUCACCGCAAUGGCGGCUGUGAGGGCCCUGGUGGGCUCGAGGCUCGCUGCGGCAUCUGCCUUCGCGUCCCUGUCCCCCGGCGGUCGGACGCCUUCCCAGCGCGCAGCCAUUCACCUCUCCGCGCCGCAGCCCGCGGCCAAGGUCGCGCUGGUGCUGUCUGGAUGCGGAGUCUACGAUGGGACCGAGAUCCAUGAGGCCUCGGCGAUCCUGGUGCACCUGAGCCGUGGAGGGGCCGAAGUCCAGAUCUUUGCUCCUGACGUCCCUCAGAUGCACGUGAUUGACCACACCAAGGGGCAGCCUUCUGAAAGCGAGAGCAGGAAUGUUUUGACCGAGUCUGCAAGGAUUGCCCGUGGCAAGAUCACAGACCUGGCCAAGCUCAGUGCAGCCAACCAUGAUGCCGCCAUCUUUCCAGGAGGCUUUGGAGCGGCUAAAAACCUGAGCACGUUUGCCGUGGACGGAAAAGAUUGCAAAGUUAAUAAAGAAGUGGAGCGUGUCCUGAAGGAGUUCCACCAGGCCGGGAAGCCCAUCGGCUUGUGCUGCAUCGCGCCUGUCCUCGCAGCCAAGGUGCUCAGAGGAGUCGAGGUCACCGUGGGCCAUGAGCAGGAGGAAGGUGGCAAGUGGCCUUACGCUGGGACCGCGGAAGCCAUCAAGGCCUUAGGUGCCAAGCACUUCGUGAAGGAAGUGGCCGAAGCUCACGUGGACCAGAAAAACAAGGUGGUCACGACCCCAGCUUUCAUGUGCCAGGCGGCACUCCACCACAUCCACGACGGGAUCGGGGCCAUGGUGCAGAAGGUGCUGGAACUCACUGGAAAGUGACGCGCAUGGACGGGGUCCCAGCUUGGUGCCAGGACUUGGCCUCACGCUCUGGCUGAGGCUUUCUGGAACCUUCCAGGGCCCUGUUACUCCCACCACUUCUUCUGAGGGCGUGCCCACCACGUGCUGACUCUGUACCCGUUUUACCUCAUUUAGCCGUCGCUGCAGACGUGCAUCGUAGCCGUAUCGGCAACUCAGCGCUGCUGUGGCAAAUCACCACACACCCAAACCAGCAGAGAGUCCCCCUCCCCGGCUCUGGUGCCAGAAGCCCAAGAUCAAGGUGUGGGCAGGGCUGGCCCCCCGAGGCCAUGAGAGGGGUCUGUCCCAGGCCGCUCCUGGCCUUGUGGCCUGAGGUCUUCGGUGCUCCCUGGCUGGUGGAAGUGCUGCUGCGGCCUCGGCCCCAUGUCGUGUGGCCUGCUCUCGCUCUGUGUGUCUGGGUGGGUCAGGGCCCACCCGGCUGACCUCGCUUUAACCUCAUUACCUCUGUGCAGACCCUGCCUCCAAAUAAGGUCACGUUCACAGGUCCUGGGGUCAAAUAAGGUCACACUCACAGAUACUGGGGUCAACUAAGGUCAUACUCACAGGUCCGGGGGUCAGGACCUCGACACAUGGCUGUGGGGGACACAGUUCAGCCCAGGAGGGAAACUGAGGCACAGAAUGGGGUGCACUUCCUGAGGCCCCAUGGCUCACAAGGAGACAAGGAGGGGCUGCAGGCUGGGGUCCCAGAUGCCCUCUCACACAGCAGCCACCAUCCUAGCCAGUCCCAGCCCCUCCUGGGUCCCCCCGUCUUUACUCAGGGUGGCCCCAUGUGCCCGGCCUGUCCUCAGGUCACCCUGACUCUAGCGUGGGAUACCCCACCUCAGAGGGCACCUCCUCGGGGUUGGGUUACGGUUUUUUAAGUCUCGUGGAACGCCCCCCGACGGCGUGGGCCCGGCUCUUGAGGAGGUGGGCCGUGGUCUUGGCUGACGGUGCAACACCCACACACCUGACCCAGUUAGGACCUCUGAUCUGGAAUGGCUGCUGACUCAGUUUCCCUACAUGGAAACCACCCCUCAUGCCAGCCUUUUCUGUCCCCUGCUGCAGCCUCCCUGGUGGGUCUCGUGCACCCUGGGUGGCCUGGGUUCUUGGCCCCAAGGGAAAAGGGGGCUCCUGCUAGGGGCAGAGAGGGAGGGACAGGGCAGGGCCUGGAGCGAGAUUUCAGGAUUGUCUUCGGAUGGCACGGCCUGGUCCUCAGCUUCUGAUCAUUUUCUUCAUUUUCACGACUCCCUGCACUUCCUGGUUUUGGGUGAGGCCAAAUAGCAGAAGUAUUAAAAUAUUCCUCCUCGAG
RNA transcript from Macaca mulatta (Rhesus monkey), 2225 nucleotides. It is a transcript of the gene named glutamine amidotransferase class 1 domain containing 3, with no coding region annotated. Lineage: Eukaryota; Metazoa; Chordata; Mammalia; Primates; Cercopithecidae. The record is from RefSeq and is marked provisional.